RNAcentral lists this ribosomal RNA (297 nucleotides) under uncultured bacterium. RNAcentral describes it as "partial 16S ribosomal RNA". It matches the Rfam family "Bacterial small subunit ribosomal RNA", at positions 333 to 646 of the family's 1533-position model. The record is from RNAcentral.
UUGAUCCUACGGGGCGCAGCAGUCGGGAAUAUUGCGCAAUGGAGGAAACUCUGACGCAGUGACGCCGCGUAUAGGAAGAAGGUCUUCGGAUUGUAAACUAUUGUCGUUAGGGAAGAGAAAGGACAGUACCUAAGGAGGAAGCUCCGGCUAACUACGUGCCAGCAGCCGCGGUAAUACGUAGGGAGCGAGCGUUAUCCGGAUUUAUUGGGGGUAAAGGGAGCGUAGACGGGAAAAUAAGUUAGUUGUGAAAUCCCUCGGCUCAACUGAGGAACUGCAACUAAAACUAUUUUUCUUGGG